Non-coding RNA from Potamilus streckersoni, 74 nucleotides. The record is from the annotation of a GenBank genome assembly. NCBI's taxonomy places the organism in Eukaryota, Metazoa, Mollusca, Bivalvia, Unionida, Unionidae.
GAUUCUGUGGCCUAAGUGAUUAUAGCGUCCUCCUCGGAUGCGAAAGGUCGAGGGUUCGAACCCCUGCCGAGGCA